GACGAACGCUGGCGGCGUGCUUAACACAUGCAAGUCGAACGGGCCUGUCUUCUUUUUUGGGGGGUGGGUUGAGUGGCGAACGGGUGAGUAUCACGUGAGUAACCUGCCCUUCGGUCCUGGAUAACCGCUUGAAAGGGCGGCUAAUACGGGGUGGUCCGGUUGGUCCGCAUGGGCUGGUCGGGAUAGAUUCACUGUUUUUGGUGUUUCGGCGGGUGGAUGGGCUCGCGGCCUAUCAGCUUGUUGGUGGGGUGAUGGCCUACCAAGGCGGUGACGGGUAGCCGGCCUGAGAGGGUGGGCGGCCACACUGGGACUGAGAUACGGCCCAGACUCCUGCGGGAGGCAGCAGUGGGGGGUAUUGCACAAUGGGCGGAAGCCUGAUGCAGCGACGUCGCGUGAGGGAUGGAGGCCUUCGGGUUGUGAACCUCUGUUUCCGGUGGUGAAGGCCCUGUCCGUGUGGUGGGGUUGACGGUAGCCGGGGAUGAAGCGCCGGCUAACUACGUG
RNAcentral lists this ribosomal RNA (501 nucleotides) under uncultured bacterium. RNAcentral describes it as "partial 16S ribosomal RNA". It matches the Rfam family "Bacterial small subunit ribosomal RNA", at positions 28 to 507 of the family's 1533-position model. The record is from RNAcentral.